This 547-nucleotide ribosomal RNA is filed under the name uncultured Glomeraceae. Its description in RNAcentral is "SSU rRNA". It matches the Rfam family "Eukaryotic small subunit ribosomal RNA", at positions 548 to 1098 of the family's 1831-position model. Lineage: Eukaryota; Fungi; Glomeromycota; Glomeromycetes; Glomerales; Glomeraceae. The record is from RNAcentral.
UUGGAGGGCAAGUCUGGUGCCAGCAGCCGCGGUAAUUCCAGCUCCAAUAGCGUAUAUUAAAGUUGUUGCAGUUAAAAAGCUCGUAGUUGAAUUUCGAGACCGGUUUACUGGUCGUGCUUUUGUACGUACUGGUAUUAUUGGUUUCUCCUUUCUGACGAAUCUUAAUGCCAUUAAUUUGGUGUUUUGGGGAAUCAAGACUGUUACUUUGAAAAAAUUAGAGUGUUUAAAGCAAGCUAACGCUUGAAUACAUUAGCAUGGAAUAAUGAAAUAGGACGUUCGAUCCUAUUUUGUUGGUUUCUAGGAUUGACGUAAUGAUUAAUAGGGAUAGUUGGGGCAUUAGUAUUCAAUUGUCAGGGGUGAAAUUCUUGGAUUUAUUGAAGACUAACUACUGCGAAAGCAUUUGCCAAGGAUGUUUUCAUUAAUCAAGAACGAAAGUUAGGGGAUCGAAGACGAUCAGAUACCGUCGUAGUCUUAACCAUAAACUAUGCCGACUAGGGAUCGGAUGAUGUUAAUUUUUUAAUGACUCAUUCGGCGCCUUACGGGAAAC